RNAcentral lists this unclassified non-coding RNA (160 nucleotides) under soil metagenome. RNAcentral's name for it is "partial internal transcribed spacer 1". The record is from RNAcentral.
CAAGAAUCGAGGCUGACGGUGCCUACUCCCUAGGCUCCGUCCAGUCCCGCUCUCUACCUUGCCUACCGCACCGUUUGUUGCUUCCUGGCGGCGUCCCGUCGCCAGGGCCUUUUGAAAGCCAAGUAUAAGCAUUGAAACUUCUGACAUACACUAAAUCGUA